Molecule: ribosomal RNA, 465 nt
Filed under: uncultured bacterium
Lineage: Bacteria
Description: partial 16S ribosomal RNA
Rfam family: Bacterial small subunit ribosomal RNA
Source: RNAcentral
GAUGAACGCUGGCGGCGUGCUUAACACAUGCAAGUCGAACGGAAAGGCUCCUGCUUGCAGGGGUACUCGAGUGGCGAACGGGUGAGUAACACGUGGGUGAUCUGCCCUGCACUUCGGGAUAAGCCUGGGAAACUGGGUCUAAUACCGGAUAGGACGAUGGUUUGGAUGCCAUUGUGGAAAGUUUUUCGGUGUGGGAUUAGCUCGCGGCCUAUCAGCUUGUUGGUGGGGUAAUGGCCUACCAAGGCGUCGACGGGUAGCCGGCCUGAGAGGGUGGACGGCCACAUUGGUACUGAGAUACGGCCCAGACUCCUACGGGAGGCAGCAGUGGGGAAUAUUGCACAAUGGGCGCAAGCCUGAUGCAGCGACGCCGCGUGGGGGAUGACGGCCUUCGGGUUGUAAACUCCUUUCGCUAGGGACGAAGCGCAAGUGACGGUACCUGGAGAAGAAGCACCGGCUAACUACGUG